CGAAUCGCGGCGUGCUUACACAUGCAGUCGAACGGUGAACACGGAGCUUGCUCUGUGGGAUCAGUGGCGAACGGGUGAGUAACACGUGAGCAACCUGCCCCUGACUCUGGGAUAAGCGCUGGAAACGGCGUCUAAUACUGGAUAUGUGACGUGACCGCAUGGUCUGCGUUUGGAAAGAUUUUUCGGUUGGGGAUGGGCUCGCGGCCUAUCAGCUUGUUGGUGAGGUAAUGGCUCACCAAGGCGUCGACGGGUAGCCGGCCUGAGAGGGUGACCGGCCACACUGGGACUGAGACACGGCCCAGACUCCUACGGGAGGCAGCAGUGGGGAAUAUUGCACAAUGGGCGGAAGCCUGAUGCAGCAACGCCGCGUGAGGGAUGACGGCCUUCGGGUUGUAAACCUCUUUUAGCAGGGAAGAAGCGAAAGUGACGGUACCUGCAGAAAAAGCGCCGGCUAACUACGUGCCAGCAGCCGCGGUAAUACGUAGGGCGCAAGCGUUAUCCGGAAUUAUUGGGCGUAAAGAGCUCGUAGGCGGUUUGUCGCGUCUGCUGUGAAAUCCCGAGGCUCAACCUCGGGCCUGCAGUGGGUACGGGCAGACUAGAGUGCGGUAGGGGAGAUUGGAAUUCCUGGUGUAGCGGU
RNAcentral lists this ribosomal RNA (637 nucleotides) under Microbacterium sp. JDM-3-06. Its description in RNAcentral is "bacterial SSU rRNA". It matches the Rfam family "Bacterial small subunit ribosomal RNA", at positions 34 to 682 of the family's 1533-position model. Lineage: Bacteria; Bacillati; Actinomycetota; Actinomycetes; Micrococcales; Microbacteriaceae. The record is from RNAcentral.